This 326-nucleotide long non-coding RNA is filed under the name Vulpes vulpes (red fox). RNAcentral's name for it is "lncRNA (ENSVVUG00000023079.1)". Lineage: Eukaryota; Metazoa; Chordata; Mammalia; Carnivora; Canidae. The record is from RNAcentral.
GCUGACGUCAGAUGCGCUGGCCAAUGAGCGCGGGGCCUGCUGCGGCCGCACGCGCAGUCCUGCCCAGAGACGCCAGGGGGAGGAAGAGCGCGAGCCCCUGAGACAGCAAAGGUGCCCGGAAGUGGGAGACGAUAUUUUAAGUUAUACAGCUAUGUUUUGUCAAGACUUUGAAGAGUCAGGGAUAUACUGCUUGCAAGCUAAGAGAUGCCCCUCUUGGUGUACUACUUCAACUGAAGAGGAGUAUAUUAGUACACAACUGCAUCUCCUGCUCAUCCCAAAGUCCUGAGAAAACAACAGCAACAAAUAUUCAUUGAGAGGCAUUAAUU